UGGGGAAUAUUGGGCAAUGGGGGCAACCCUGACCCAGCGACGCCGCGUGGGGGAAGACGGCCUUCGGGUUGUAAACCUCUUUUGUACGGGAAGAAGGAAGUGACGGUACUGUACGAAUAAGUCCCGGCUAACUACGUGCCAGCAGCCGCGGUAAUACGUAGGGGACGAGCGUUGUCCGGAAUUACUGGGCGUAAAGGGCGCGCAGGCUGUGCUGCAAGUCAGCUGUUAAAUGUCUGGGCUUAACCCGGGCAUGCGGUUGAGACUGCGGUGCUGGAGUGCUGUAGAGGCAAGUGGAAUUCCCAGUGUAGCGGUGAAAUGCGUAGAUAUUGGGAAGAACACCGGUGGCGAAGGCGGGUAACUGGACUGCAACUGACGCUGAGGCGCGAAAGUGUGGGGAGCAAACAGG
Molecule: ribosomal RNA, 406 nt
Filed under: uncultured prokaryote
Also listed under: 1 other name
Description: bacterial SSU rRNA
Rfam family: Bacterial small subunit ribosomal RNA
Source: RNAcentral